Molecule: long non-coding RNA, 417 nt
Organism: Diospyros lotus (date-plum)
Lineage: Eukaryota; Viridiplantae; Streptophyta; Magnoliopsida; Ericales; Ebenaceae
Exons: 2
Source: RefSeq, a predicted model, not a curated record
CUCCUUGUUCUCUUCAAUCCCUAGUUUCUUCUUCUUCAAAUUGGUGCUUCACAAGGGGUUUUGGUGGCUGAUUUUAGAGGGCUUUCGAUUGGAAUUGGAGGCUUGGUUCGUGGCUGCCUUCCUUCUCUCAAAUCAUCCAUUAAUCAAGAUAAAGGUAAAGCUAAAGAGGGAGCCGGGCCUAGUGGUGUAUGAGUUCAAGGGAUAGAUUAUUUACAGAGUCCUUCCAGCCAGAAGAUCUUUGGGAGUUGGUUUUUAGGGCUUGCGGACUGGAGUUGUUUUGUUGUUACAUAUUUAUAUUGUCAUUUUUAUUUUGUUGUAUGGGCAGCUAAGCCCUAACCGGAUUUAUGUAGUGAGUAUUAUAGUGUGUAUGUACCAUGUGAGCAUGGUUAAAAUAAAUGGGAUAUGCGUGGUUGUUUA